RNAcentral lists this ribosomal RNA (315 nucleotides) under uncultured bacterium. Its description in RNAcentral is "bacterial SSU rRNA". It matches the Rfam family "Bacterial small subunit ribosomal RNA", at positions 30 to 345 of the family's 1533-position model. The record is from RNAcentral.
UGAACGCUGGCGGCAUGCCUUACACAUGCAAGUCGAACGGCAGCGCGGACUUCGGUCUGGCGGCGAGUGGCGAACGGGUGAGUAGUACAUCGGAACGUACCCUGUUGUGGGGGAUAACUAGUCGAAAGAUUGCUAAUACCGCAUACGACCUGAGGGUGGAAAGUAGGGGGACCGGCAAGGCCGUCACGCAGCAGGAGCGGCCGAUGUCUGAUUAGCUAGUUGGUGGGGUAAAGGCCCACCAAGGCGCGAUCAGUAGCUGGUCUGAGAGGACGAUCAGCCACACUGGGACUGAGACACGGCCCAGACUCCUACGGG